AACGAACGCUGGCGGCAUGCCUAACACAUGCAAGUCGAACGAGACCUUCGGGUCUAGUGGCGCACGGGUGCGUAACGCGUGGGAAUCUGCCCUCAGGUACGGAAUAACUCAGGGAAACUUGAGCUAAUACCGUAUAAUGACUUCGGUCCAAAGAUUUAUCGCCUGGGGAUGAGCCCGCGUCGGAUUAGCUAGUUGGUGAGGUAAAGGCUCACCAAGGCGACGAUCCGUAGCUGGUCUGAGAGGAUGAUCAGCCACACUGGGACUGAGACACGGCCCAGACUCCUACGGGAGGCAGCAGUGGGGAAUAUUGGACAAUGGGCGCAAGCCUGAUCCAGCAACGCCGCGUGAGUGAUGAAGGCCUUAGGGUUGUAAAGCUCUUUUACCCGGGAAGAUAAUGACUGUACCGGGAGAAUAAGCCCCGGCUAACUCCGUGCCAGCAGCCGCGGUAAUACGGAGGGGGCUAGCGUUGUUCGGAAUUACUGGGCGUAAAGCGCACGUA
RNAcentral lists this ribosomal RNA (499 nucleotides) under uncultured bacterium. Its description in RNAcentral is "bacterial SSU rRNA". It matches the Rfam family "Bacterial small subunit ribosomal RNA", at positions 28 to 573 of the family's 1533-position model. The record is from RNAcentral.